This 1328-nucleotide long non-coding RNA is filed under the name Struthio camelus australis. RNAcentral describes it as "lncRNA (ENSSCUG00000016410.1)". Lineage: Eukaryota; Metazoa; Chordata; Aves; Struthioniformes; Struthionidae. The record is from RNAcentral.
AUAACCUUCAUUCUUUGUCCUAGUCUUUAAGCGAGGUGUGGAAUCAAGGAAGUGAAUCAUGCAAGAGACUCACACACAUAGUUGCUACAAAUCUCUUGGAGAAAAGCACUAUUUUGUAGUUCCAUGCCGAUAACAGAAGGAAGUAUAGAUAUUGAAGGCAAGCCAACCCCUGAUAUCUUAGACCACAACAGAAAGUAACCACAGAUUCCAGAGCUUUGAUUACUCAUGUCUCUAGGCAGCCAAGCCCUGUAGUCUGACAUAUUUCCCUUCUGUCAAGAAAGAAGUAGGUGAUUCCAGCCUUCUCUGUAAAAGCCUCUUCAUUCCUUUCUCUGCUCUCCUUUUCAGUUCACUUCUGGCCCAUUCCUUGGACUGCGUAAGUUUUCUCCAGUGCAAGAUCUUUUCCUCCAAGAAGGAUCAUUCUCUGCUGAAGUGGCCUUCCACUAUGGAUGACUGUACAUGAAACAAAACUGUCUGACUGAUUGUCACAUCAUAUUCCUCCUGCAAAAUUAAUUCCAGAGCUCAGAUAAUUUCUUCCAGAAUCUUAGGAGAAGAGCAUUAGAUUUCAAGACUUCAUUAAACAAGUUUUCUGAAAACAAGAGUAAAAUUUGCAUUUUAAAAUAUGUGAAGAGUCUCAAACACAAAACUGACAGCUAGCACUAAAAUAAUGAGUCACAGUGAAGAUUUGAAAAUUUAAGAAAUGAAUUGAUCCAUCUUCAUGAGAAUGUAGUCAAGAGAAGAUUUAGGAAUUGUGAAUUUUUCCUGGAGUCAAACUGACUGUUGGAAAGAAUGAGACAGAAGCUUGAUUUUUUGGUACUAAUGUUGCUGUUAACAAGAAGGAUCUUCAAUAUUCACCUGUAUUUUUCUCUCCGUGAAGACUGAAUGCUUGAUCCAGAUCAUGCUGGUAUUAGCUGAGAUAUUUUUCAGUUGAGUUCUGGGUUAGAUCACUAAGUUAGCAUAAAACUUUAUAAUGGAUCCAGACAAAAACUUAACUGAGCUAAACAUCUUUCAUUCAAUUACAGACUAUUUUUUAUAAAUGCUAUUUAUGUAAUUUAUCAUACAUGUACAUAUAGAAAUAUAUAUAAAGGAAACUCUUUAAUCCAUUCUUUGUAAGCUCUUCUGAGCUGCCUUCUGGCUCUCUAAGAAACUUACUAAAUUAGGAGGAGUAAAGCAAGACAAAGGCUGUAAAUCAUUGGUAAAUCAAUUUGUUAGUUUUAGAGUAUUACUGUGUCAAACAUUAAGCUGGUUUAAGUCUGGCACAUUAGUUUAUUCCUCUGAAUGGUAAAAGUGGUUAGCAAGUUAACCUAGACAUUAUUAGAUUUUUUUUUUUC